GUCCACGCCCUAAACGAUGUCGACUGGUUGUUGGGGUUGACACUCUCAGUAACGAAGCUAACGCGUGAAGUCGACCGCCUGGGGAGUACGGCCGCAAGGUUAAAACUCAAAGGAAUUGACGGGGACCCGCACAAGCGGUGGAUUAUGUGGAUUAAUUCGAUGCAACGCGAAAAACCUUACCUACCCUUGACAUGUCCUGAAGCCUGGAGAGAUCCGGGUGUGCCAGAAAGGGAACGGGAACACAGGUGCUGCAUGGCUGUCGU
This 263-nucleotide ribosomal RNA is filed under the name uncultured bacterium. Its description in RNAcentral is "partial 16S ribosomal RNA". It matches the Rfam family "Bacterial small subunit ribosomal RNA", at positions 793 to 1055 of the family's 1533-position model. The record is from RNAcentral.